GCGUUGGUGGUUCAGUGGCAGAAUUCUCGGCUUCCACGCGGGAGACCGGGGUUCGUUUCCCCGCCAAUGCA
RNAcentral lists this transfer RNA (71 nucleotides) under Paramuricea clavata. It matches the Rfam family "tRNA". Rfam says of the family: Transfer RNA (tRNA) molecules are approximately 80 nucleotides in length. Their secondary structure includes four short double-helical elements and three loops (D, anti-codon, and T loops). The record is from Rfam by way of RNAcentral. Lineage: Eukaryota; Metazoa; Cnidaria; Anthozoa; Malacalcyonacea; Plexauridae.